UUUCCACGUAGCCUACUGACCUUGA
This 25-nucleotide non-coding RNA is filed under the name Mus musculus (house mouse). The record is from RNAcentral. RNAcentral also lists the same sequence under 1 other name. Lineage: Eukaryota; Metazoa; Chordata; Mammalia; Rodentia; Muridae.